RNAcentral lists this ribosomal RNA (1157 nucleotides) under Testudinaria sp. ARANS0000175. RNAcentral describes it as "SSU rRNA". It matches the Rfam family "Eukaryotic small subunit ribosomal RNA", at positions 622 to 1803 of the family's 1831-position model. The record is from RNAcentral. Lineage: Eukaryota; Metazoa; Arthropoda; Arachnida; Araneae; Araneidae.
AAAAGCUCGUAGUUGGAUCUCAGCUAGAGACGGUCGGUCCGCCUACCGGUGGUUACUGCCCGUGCUCAGCAUUCCGCCGGUUUCCUUUGAUGAUCUUCACCGGUUGUCUCGGGUGACCGGCAAGUUUACUUUGAAAAAAUUAGAGUGCUCAAAGCAGGCGUGACGCCUGAAUAUUUGUGCAUGGAAUAAUGGAAUAGGACCUCGGUUCUAUUUUGUUGGUUUUCGGAACACGAGGUAAUGAUUAAGAGGGACAGACGGGGGCAUUCGUAUUGCGACGCUAGAGGUGAAAUUCUUGGACCGUCGCAAGACGAACUACUGCGAAAGCAUUUGCCAAGAAUGUUUCCAUUAAUCAAGAACGAAAGUUAGAGGUUCGAAGGCGAUCAGAUACCGCCCUAGUUCUAACCAUAAACGAUGCCAGCCAGCGAUCCGGCUGUGUUCCUCAAAUGACACGCCGGGCAGCUUCCGGGAAACCAAAGCUUUUGGGUUCCGGGGGAAGUAUGGUUGCAAAGCUGAAACUUAAAGGAAUUGACGGAAGGGCACCAUCAGAAGUGGAGCCUGCGGCUUAAUUUGACUCAACACGGGAAAUCUCACCCGGCCCGGACACAGGAAGGAUUGACAGAUUAAGAGCUCUUUCUUGAUUCUGUGGGUGGUGGUGCAUGGCCGUUCUUAGUUGGUGGGGCGACUUGUCUGGUUUAUUCCGUUAACGAACGAGACUCUAGCCUACUAAAUAGACGUUCCGAUCCUCUAUGUCGGACGUUCUUCUUAGAGGGACAAGCGGCGUUUAGCCGCACGAGACAGAGCAAUAACAGGUCUGGGAUGCCCUUAGAUGUCCGGGGCCGCACGCGCGCUACAUUGAAGGAAUCAGCGUGUGCUCUCCCUUUCCGACAGGAAUGGGUAACCCGUUGAAACUCCUUCGUGCUGGGGAUAGGCGACUGCAAUUGACGCCUUGAACGAGGAACUCCCAGUAAGCACGAGUCAUCAGCUCGUGUUGACUACGUCCCUGCCCUUUGUGCACACCGCCCGUCGCUACUACCGAUUGAAUGAUUUAGUGAGGUCUUCGGACUGGCCCUCGGGUUGAUCUUCGUGGUCGAGACGAGGUGCAGGAAAGAUGACCAAACUUGAUCAUUUAGAGGAAGUAAAAGUCGUAACAAGGUUUC